This 427-nucleotide ribosomal RNA is filed under the name uncultured bacterium. Its description in RNAcentral is "partial 16S ribosomal RNA". It matches the Rfam family "Bacterial small subunit ribosomal RNA", at positions 355 to 774 of the family's 1533-position model. The record is from RNAcentral.
UGGGGAAUAUUGCACAAUGGGCGCAAGCCUGAUGCAGCCAUGCCGCGUGUAUGAAGAAGGCCUUCGGGUUGUAAAGUACUUUCAGCGAGGAGGAAGGUGUUGAGGUUAAUAACCUCAGCAAUUGACGUUACUCGCAGAAGAAGCACCGGCUAACUCCGUGCCAGCAGCCGCGGUAAUACGGAGGGUGCAAGCGUUAAUCGGAAUUACUGGGCGUAAAGCGCACGCAGGCGGUCUGUCAAGUCGGAUGUGAAAUCCCCGGGCUCAACCUGGGAACUGCAUUCGAAACUGGCAGGCUAGAGUCUUGUAGAGGGGGGUAGAAUUCCAGGUGUAGCGGUGAAAUGCGUAGAGAUCUGGAGGAAUACCGGUGGCGAAGGCGGCCCCCUGGACAAAGACUGACGCUCAGGUGCGAAAGCGUGGGGAGCAAACA